Long non-coding RNA from Pocillopora damicornis (cauliflower coral), 1604 nucleotides. RefSeq lists it as uncharacterized. The record is from RefSeq and is a predicted model, not a curated record. Lineage: Eukaryota; Metazoa; Cnidaria; Anthozoa; Scleractinia; Pocilloporidae.
UGAGAACAAAGCUUGAUAUCUGCAUAACAAAGAAAGUCGCUUUGUGUCAAAAUUAAUCAGCAAAGGACAAAAUUGGCAGUUUAAUAGCAGACUGAAAGUUACCACAAUUUCAUUUGUGGCUUUAAAAACGUGCGUCACAUGCAAAUGAUGCCGAACUCACUCACUGAUUCCAAAACCGGUUCAAACUUAAAACUUGCUGCAAGAAAUCCAUAGAAAUUUUUUUCUGUGGGAAUUUAGCGACAACUGUGAGAGAACCAACGCUAUCUUGGGUUGCUUAAAAAAGGCGAUAUCGUUAUGACAUCAUGUGGUAUCAUGUACGAAAUAUCGAGAUUAUAUCAGUUCUAAAUUUCCUGAGCAAAUUUUAGCUACAUUCGAAAGAUUAUGGCGUCGGGAAACUGAAAUUUUUACAUCUGCGUAAGCGUUACGUAAUGAAAAAAAUACUCAGGCACGUUCUUGGACCAAAAGCUAGUUUAGCAAUAUCAAGUAAAAUACGACGGCAGAUGUCAUUGAAUCUUAAAAAGGCCUCAUAAGGCGUUUUCAGAACUGCCUUAUCUUAUGGUUGGAGCUUUUUACGUUGGCUUGUGUAGAAGUGUUUAUGGAAAUUUAUGUUGAGGACACCGUGGGAACAUGUAAGCUAGCUUGUGAAGAAGAAGAAGAAGAAGAAGGAAAAUAAAAACUACGUGAAGGAAUACUGCCAAAGAAAGAAAAACAAAUGGUAAAUCUGGCACUCAGGUACACUUCCCCUCUCCUAAAAUCCACCCUACUUUAUUUCAUCUGUCUGAAAUGGAGCACCGUUUCCACAAUGUCACGCCAAGGACCGCGUGACUAGCGUGAUUUCCUGACAAAGUAACACGAGCUCAACAAAAAAACGGGAUACAUUUAGCCGAAAAGACUAAUCAAACUCAAUGCGUGAUCGACGAGAGGUCUUUUCUUCAAAAUUAAGGGUUAAAUGAGAGAUAAAAUCUAGCACCGACAACAAUAGUUAAAAGAAAGAACAAAACAAUAUCCUUUAGAAAAAUAAGACUGUUUUCAAAUUUCGGAAUUUAGCCGGUAAAAAACAAGUGUCUUGGCAAGUUCACGAACUUGGAAGGGUUUGUCUUCCUGUCUCGCUAAGGAAUUAAAUUUACCAGUGAUGAACACGUUUCCUAAUAGAUAACUCGAGAAGAAGCAACUGACUUCCCUUCUAAAAUGAAAUCUUUUACGCUGUACUUCAUAUAAUGCGAAAACUGUAAUUUCAAGAAAUUCCGACGCCGUAAAACGACCUGAUUGUGUCUUGCAAGAUGAGGUGUCACGUAUAUUCUCAUUUGGAAGCAUCAGCUGAAGGGUUUUUUCCGCUUUCAUAUCCACAAACAAAAUACUUUGAAUUCUUCCAUGCGAGUUGUUUAUGUAAAUUGCGUUUUUCUAAUGUUUUUUUUUUGUCUCACGAGAAAGCUUUCAGCAGUUCUAAGUAGAACGUAUUGUUGUGGGAACUGCUUGGAAAUUAUUUAUCAUGUAGCCGUGAAAAAUUGCUCGUGUACAUGAAUGUAAAAAGUGCGGUCAUGUUACGGUAGGCGUGGUUGUGGUCGAAGCCAGAGCCAUAAAUAAAUCAGAAUUUCCUGUGGUAA